This is a long non-coding RNA of Ictalurus punctatus (channel catfish), 522 nucleotides long. The record is from Ensembl. Lineage: Eukaryota; Metazoa; Chordata; Actinopteri; Siluriformes; Ictaluridae.
CAAUGAUGAGGAAGAAGCCAAGGAGACGGAGCCUCAGCAGCCCGUUUCGUCGAUCCGUCCAGAGGAAGUCCCGCCCGUCCCGGAGAACCGCUUCCUGAUGAGACGCAGUCCACAGCCUCAGCCUAAAGAGGAGCAGGGGAAGGACAAACAGAAGGAGAAUUCUGGGAAAGAGCGGCAAAGGGAACGGGAGAGGGACAGAGAACGAGACCGAGAGAGAGACAGGGAGAGACCCACGAUGAACUCACGACCAAAUCGCACGCGUCUGGUGAUGACCCGAUCCGGCCGGAAAAACAAGGGAAGAGCGAGAGCCCCAAACCCAGAGAGCGAGCGAAAGACAAAUCACGCAGCCCCAAGAAGGAUCACAAGAAUGAGAAAAAGGACUCGAGCGACAGUGACAGUGACUGAUUCUCCCAUGACCUCCACAUCCUCCGAACACCUCAUCCAGUCUUGAGAACUACUGACACACCGAUCCCACGUGUCACCUUCCAACACCAUCACGAGGUCCGAGCUCAGAGCGCCGGC